RNAcentral lists this ribosomal RNA (253 nucleotides) under uncultured bacterium. RNAcentral's name for it is "partial 16S ribosomal RNA". It matches the Rfam family "Bacterial small subunit ribosomal RNA", at positions 524 to 776 of the family's 1533-position model. The record is from RNAcentral.
UACGGGGGGGGCAAGCGUUGUUCGGAAUUACUGGGCGUAAAGGGUCUGUAGGUGGCUUGCUAAGUCAGACGUGAAAUCCCUCAGCUUAACUGGGGAACUGCGUCUGAGACUGGCGAGCUUGAGGGCAGGAGAGGAACGCGGAAUUCCAGGUGUAGCGGUGAAAUGCGUAGAUAUCUGGAGGAACACCGGUGGCGAAGGCGGCGUUCUGGACUGCAUCUGACACUGAGAGACGAAAGCUAGGGUAGCAAACGGG